This 435-nucleotide ribosomal RNA is filed under the name uncultured bacterium. RNAcentral describes it as "bacterial SSU rRNA". It matches the Rfam family "Bacterial small subunit ribosomal RNA", at positions 29 to 509 of the family's 1533-position model. The record is from RNAcentral.
AACGAACGCUGGCGGCAGGCCUAACACAUGCAAGUCGAACGCCGUAGCAAUACGGAGUGGCAGACGGGUGAGUAACACGUGGGAACGUACCCUUCGGUUCGGAAUAACUCAGGGAAACUUGAGCUAAUACCGGAUACGUCCGAGAGGAGAAAGAUUUAUCGCCGAAAGAUCGGCCCGCGUCUGAUUAGCUAGUUGGUGAGGUAACGGCUCACCAAGGCGACGAUCAGUAGCUGGUCNGAGAGGAUGAUCAGCCACAUUGGGACUGAGACACGGCCCAAACUCCUACGGGAGGCAGCAGUGGGGAAUCUUGCGCAAUGGGCGAAAGCCUGACGCAACCAUGCCGCGUGGAUGAUGAAGGUCUUAGGGUUGUAAAUCCUUUCUACCGGGACGGAUAAUGACGGUACCCGGAGAAGAAGCCCCGGCUAACUUCGUGCC